RNAcentral lists this ribosomal RNA (496 nucleotides) under North Sea bacterium H103. RNAcentral describes it as "bacterial SSU rRNA". It matches the Rfam family "Bacterial small subunit ribosomal RNA", at positions 30 to 520 of the family's 1533-position model. The record is from RNAcentral. RNAcentral also lists the same sequence under 2 other names.
UUGAACGCUGGCGGCAGGCCUAACACAUGCAAGUCGAGCGGUAACAGAAAGUAGCUUGCUACUUUGCUGACGAGCGGCGGACGGGUGAGUAAUGCUUGGGAACAUGCCUUUAGGUGGGGGACAACAGUUGGAAACGACUGCUAAUACCGCAUAACGUCUACGGACCAAAGGGGGCUUCGGCUCUCGCCUAAAGAUUGGCCCAAGUGGGAUUAGCUAGUUGGUGAGGUAAUGGCUCACCAAGGCAACGAUCCCUAGCUGGUUUGAGAGGAUGAUCAGCCACACUGGAACUGAGACACGGUCCAGACUCCUACGGGAGGCAGCAGUGGGGAAUAUUGCACAAUGGGCGAAAGCCUGAUGCAGCCAUGCCGCGUGUGUGAAGAAGGCCUUCGGGUUGUAAAGCACUUUCAGUCAGGAGGAAAGGUUAGUAGUUAAUACCUGCUAGCUGUGACGUUACUGACAGAAGAAGCACCGGCUAACUCCGUGCCAGCAGCCGCGA